RNAcentral lists this ribosomal RNA (252 nucleotides) under uncultured bacterium. Its description in RNAcentral is "partial 16S ribosomal RNA". It matches the Rfam family "Bacterial small subunit ribosomal RNA", at positions 524 to 776 of the family's 1533-position model. The record is from RNAcentral.
UACGGAGGAUGCGAGCGUUAUCCGGAUUUAUUGGGUUUAAAGGGUGCGUAGGCGGACUGUCAAGUCAGCGGUAAAAUUGAGAGGCUCAACCUCUUCCCGCCGUUGAAACUGGUGGUCUUGAGUGGAUGAGAAGUACGCGGAAUGCGUGGUGUAGCGGUGAAAUGCAUAGAUAUUACGCAGAACUCCGAUUGCGAAGGCAGCGUACCGGCAUCCAACUGACGCUGAGGCACGAAAGCGUGGGGAGCAAAUAGG